UACGAAGGGGGCUAGCGUUGUUCGGAAUUACUGGGCGUAAAGCGCGCGCAGGCGGUUUUUCAAGUCAGUGGUGAAAGCCCGGAGCUCAACUCCGGAAAUGCCAUUGAAACUGUAAAACUUGAGGAUGAGAGAGGUGAGUGGAAUUCCCAGUGUAGAGGUGAAAUUCGUAGAUAUUGGAAGAACACCGGUGGCGAAGGCGGCUCACUGGCUCAUAUCUGACGCUCAGGCGCGACAGCGUGGGGAUCAAACAGG
Molecule: ribosomal RNA, 252 nt
Filed under: uncultured bacterium
Lineage: Bacteria
Description: partial 16S ribosomal RNA
Rfam family: Bacterial small subunit ribosomal RNA
Source: RNAcentral